RNAcentral lists this ribosomal RNA (301 nucleotides) under uncultured bacterium. Its description in RNAcentral is "partial 16S ribosomal RNA". It matches the Rfam family "Bacterial small subunit ribosomal RNA", at positions 509 to 807 of the family's 1533-position model. The record is from RNAcentral.
CAGUAGCCGCGGGAAUACGAAGGGGGCUAGCGUUGCUCGGAAUCACUGGGCGUAAAGGGUGCGUAGGCGGGUCUUUAAGUCAGGGGUGAAAUCCUGGAGCUCAACUCCAGAACUGCCUUUGAUACUGAAGAUCUUGAGUUCGGGAGAGGUGAGUGGAACUGCGAGUGUAGAGGUGAAAUUCGUAGAUAUUCGCAAGAACACCAGUGGCGAAGGCGGCUCACUGGCCCGAUACUGACGCUGAGGCACGAAAGCGUGGGGAGCAAACAGGAUUAGAUACCCCAGUAGUCCCUGUCUCUUAUAC